RNAcentral lists this ribosomal RNA (253 nucleotides) under uncultured bacterium. Its description in RNAcentral is "partial 16S ribosomal RNA". It matches the Rfam family "Bacterial small subunit ribosomal RNA", at positions 524 to 776 of the family's 1533-position model. The record is from RNAcentral.
GACGUAGGGUGCAAGCGUUGUCCGGAUUUACUGGGCGUAAAGAGCGCGUAGGCGGCUCGUUAAGUGAGAAGUGAAAGCUGUGGGCUCAACCCACAAACCGCUUUUCAUACUGGCGAGCUGGAGUGAUGCAGAGGUGGAUAGAAUUCCUGGUGUAGCGGUGAAAUGCGUUGAUAUCAGGAGGAAUACCCGUGGCGAAGGCGGUCCACUGGGCAUCAACUGACGCUGAGGCGCGAAAGCGUGGGGAGCGAACAGG